Long non-coding RNA from Mangifera indica (mango), 1504 nucleotides. RefSeq lists it as uncharacterized. NCBI's taxonomy places the organism in Eukaryota, Viridiplantae, Streptophyta, Magnoliopsida, Sapindales, Anacardiaceae. The record is from RefSeq and is a predicted model, not a curated record. The transcript has 4 exons.
CCUCUCUUUUCUCGGUCUUCAACCUUGACACCAAAAACAGUCCCAUAAACACUAUCACCUUUGCUCCACUGGUUUCACUUACUCUGGAACUCGAACCGGACGUAUAAUUCCACUCGCUAGCUCAUAAAACGCUACGUUUCAUAGCUCGAUCACCUCCCUCUCAAUGUCAAUUUCAGUCUAGGGCAUAACAAAAAAACCUUCACAGUUCCACAAUGACGCUUCACUCUAUCAUAAUUCAAAAGCUCCUGAGCACAAACGCCAACCUGGGUCGGCGUGUAGCGGCCCGCCAUUUCAAACAGUUCACUUAGGGCAUGCGUAAUGGCAUGGCUGUAAUCGAUUGGACAAAACCCUAAUUUGUCUCCGAAACGCCUGCCACUUCAUCUCUCUGUUGGCGCAACGCCAAGCAACGUUUAUGUUAGUCAAUACGAACCCUUUGUUCGACGAAAUCAUACUCCAAAUAACCAAGAAGAUCGGGUGUUAUAACCCCAACAUGAACGCACUGUGGCGAAUGGGGGAUUUUUGACAACAAUUCUGGAUUUAUAUAUUUUUUUUCAGGUGGGUGAAUCUGCAAGCCAUCAAAAGGCUUGUGGAUACUGAUGAAUUAAAGAUGGAGAGUCUUUCUAUUUCAAAGUUACCAUUCUCUUAUUACCCCCUGAGGGACGCGAAUUCAUUAAACAAGGAAUUGACAAAUCGCUGCUGUUCCAGGAGGCAUAUUAUGAUCAACUUAAUUUGCAAGACACAGCAGCUUGUUCAGCGAUUCGGUUCUGUGAUCACACUAUUGGUGUCAGUGUCCCUCCAUCUCGAUAACUUCCAAUGAAUUCAAGAUCAGACUUACUUCUUCUCCAGUCAGAUUUGUACUCCUCUGUGGAUGGGGUCUUAGUUAGAAAUAAUGCGAGAAAUAAUCCUUUAAAUCCUUCUAUCAAAUUAGGACCUGAAUUUGAAAAGGUCAGUGACUUCCUAAGUCGAUUUAAGUCCAUUCCUAGCAUCAAUGGCUUGAUAGCUUGAAAGUGGCCUGCGAUGUCUGGUUUGGGGCUGGUAUAAUGCUCAAGGUAUUAAUUUCAUACCUUCUGCAGCCGUGUCUUUUUACAUAUGAGGUCUUCAGAUCAAUCCCACUCGGACGGAGGCUGGGGCUUUUCCGGUUUCAGACAAUGGAGACUAGUACUCUCAUUGUAAUUUUGUCUCUACCACCGUUUUAUCGUUUUUUUUCCUUUCUUACUUUUCAUGGAAGAGUAAAUAUCUUCGCUAAAUCCGGGACGAAACUAGAAGUUCCUGAUGGUGCAAUGCUGGAAAACAAGGUAAAUAACUGAAGUAGCAAGGCUAUGGGAUGGGAGGGUGUGGCGGAAUCGGUUCAUAUUCCAGUUUCUCAGGGGAUCAACGACGACGCAGACAUUUGAGAAGGAUCUCUUUCAAAGCCUUUAUGUUACAAUUUUGACUUCAUAUCACCAUUGGCUUUGUAGCUUUCUUGAAUGUAUAAAUUUAUGUUGAGGACUCAUAAAGAAGAGUU